RNAcentral lists this long non-coding RNA (4415 nucleotides) under Homo sapiens (human). RNAcentral describes it as "HSALNT0065573". Lineage: Eukaryota; Metazoa; Chordata; Mammalia; Primates; Hominidae. The record is from RNAcentral.
CCGGGGCUCUUGUGCAGAGUGCACGGUGAAGGCUGCGAGGGUCUCACUCUGUUACCCAGGCUGGAGUGGUGCAAUGGCACAAUCUCAGCUCACUGCAACCCCUGCCACUGCAACCCUUGCCUCCAGGUUCAAGUGCUUCUCUUGCCUCAGCCUUCCAAGUAGCUGGGAUUACAGGCACCUGCCACCACACCUGGCUGAUUUUUGUAUUUUUAACAGAGACGGGGUUUCACCAUGUUGGCCAAGCUGGUCUCAAACUCCUGACCUCAAGUGAUCUGCCUGCCUCAGCCUCCCAAAAUGCUGGGAUUACAGGUGUAAGCCACCAUGCCCAGCCAGGUAUGCAUUUCAUAGUGUAUGAAUCAUACCUCAAAAUUUAUAAAAAUAAAAAAGGAUUUUAAAAAAUGAACAGCCCUUUAGGUAUGGGAGGAGGCGAGGAGUAAGAAAGGUGAAUGGACUCUGCAUUACCACUUGCCGAUCGCUAGAUGUUACCAUGUUACAGUGGAAGGAAUGCAAACAAUAAUUUUUCCCAUUUUUUUUUUUGUUAUGUCCACCAUGUAACCGGACACACAGAAUUUUUUUUUUUUUUUUUUUUUUUUUUUGAGACGAAGUCUCACUCUGUCGCCCAGGCUGGAGUGCAGUGGCGCAUCUCGGCUCACUGCAAGCUCCGUCUCCCACGUUCACGCCAUUCUCCUGCCUCAGCCUCCCGAGUAGCUGGGACUACAGGCGUCUGCCACCAUGCAGCUAAUUUUUUGUAUUUUUUUUUUUAGUAGAGAUGGGGUUUCACCGUGUUAGCCAGGAUGGUCACGAUCUCCUGACCUCGUGAUCCGCCUGCCUCGGCCUCCCAAAGUGCUGGGAUUACCGGCAUGAGCCACCAUUUCCGGCAACAGGCAGACUUUUAACACAUUCCUUACCUAAACUUUUAAAAGGGACAAAAGAUAUAUGCCUUUGGUUUGGGAGAUGACGAAACAUAUGCUUUAAUGACUAUUGGGUUGGAAUCUUCUUGAGAGAGGAUCCUUCUUAGCCUAGACUAGAGUCUUCAAAAGCCCACAGUGCUUCGUAAAGUUUCAUACGUGGAAGAGAGAAGGAUGUUCCACUGGAAAAGCAGAAUUGCAGCUGAGCUGUCCUGAAAUGCCCAGCACUCUGUGGAGACGCGGAGGAGGUUUCCUGGGACAAAGUGCUGAACCAGAUGGUGAAGCCAAGGCCUGAAGACCUUUCCUGCAAGGUCGCAGAGGAAGAGGCAGAAGAAGGACCAGAACCCAGCUCCCCUGACUCCCUAUCCAGUGCUCUUCUCAUAGAUUACAUUGCUUCAGCAUCCACCUGGCUAUUGCUCCAUCCAGGGGUUACAGGAGUCACUGACUGUUUUGGUUGCUUCUUGGUUGGAGGAUGUUGUGCCUCACCGAUGAGAGCCGGAAGCAAAGGUACCAGUUCUUAGAGGAAGCAUAGGAAUGUGUCCCUUCCUGCUCGGGUCUCUCAACUGAACUCAACCCUUCCUUGAUUGAUUGACAAGCAUGUUAUCUCUCAUAAUCCCUGCCCGGUAAGGGCUGAUGUCCCCAUUUUACAGAUGAGGAUAUUGGAGCUCAGAGAAGUGAAAUGAUUGCUGAAGGUCACACAGCCUGGCUUCAAGCCUCUCGGGCUCCAAAAGGCAUCUUCUGUUCUCUCCGUCAGGAAGCCUCUUUUGGAUGAUUAACUGAGAUUAAAAAUGAAAAGACACAUGAAAGAAAGGUCCUUUUUUUCAACCUGACAAGAACUAAGAAUGCCUCUGUAUUCCAGGCACCCAGACCAGGGUGGGCUGGAAAGCCAGCCAGAGAGAAAGCAGGAGAAAGAAAGCAUGUUCUAACAGGAAGGUUAAAGCACCCUGGGAUGUGAGUUGGGGUGGAGAAGUGAAGAGGGCAGUUCUCACAGGGGCAGAGCUUGGUUUGGGGUAGGCUAGGAGCUGGGACCAGAAGAGGGACAGGGAAGGGUUUAUUGUGGGUCCACGGCCCAGCUCCACUGCAUGGGCCAUCUGACAGCGCCUGACCGAGCAGAAUGCCAGGGUGUAAAGACCCCACUAAUACCCAGUCAAUGAGAGGAACGCCAGAGGAGCACCCAGAAUGUUCUUGUGCAGAGGCAAAGAGCAGGAGUUUGUGACCACAGCUGGCAGUCCAUGUCAUCCUCACUGAACGACCUCUUAGCAUUCCAGGUGGACAAACAUAUUCACAGGUGCCCAGACAAAUGAGGUCUGCGGGAGAGAGACAGGCUACAUCAGAGGUAGACUAUGUAUUUACAUAAAGUAGGAAUAAGAGUCUCAGAAGCCUUCCAAAGCAGAUGUCUGCUUAAACCUCUUGAGCGGUGCCCUCCUUAGCCUGGAAGGAAGGCCUUGCUCAGGUAGUCUCAACCCGCAUCUGUGGUGUGAUUUAACACCUUCCCCUUCAUUCCACCACACUCUAUCUCAAACUAUCUGUUGUUCUCAAACACACAGAACACUUUCACUCCACCAGCUCUUCCACAUGUGAUUAUCUUUGCAUGUACUUCAUCUUUCUCAUCUACAGCCCCACCUGGCAAACUCCUACUCAGCCUUCAAAACCCUGCCUAAAUGUCACUGAAUCUGGAAGCCUUCUUCAUCUUCUCAGUACACAUUUGUCUGUAUUCCUGAUCCUUUGUCUAUAACUCUGGUAAAUCAUUGAUCCUAGUGCACUGUCAAGAACUUGUCCUAUUUUAUCUGUAGAUUCCCAGAGCCCAAUCAAGAUCCUCACAUGUAGAAAGUAGUAGAUCAAUUAAAUAAAGCAAGCACAGCCAGAAUGGCUGGGAAUUUGAGAGCAUGUGCCCCAGAAUGAUUGUACCUCAGACCUGGAAGAAAAUGUGGAGUUGAUCUAAGUAAACCUGAUGUUUGAACGCCUCAUCUGCAUUCACAGCCUGAGGUAAUAUACAUAAACCACCUAAUCUAGUAACUGGCAGGUAUUAGUCAGUGAAUGGUGGCUGAUAUUUUUGUUUUUGUUGUCAUUUCUUCGGGAAUCAAAAUAGACAUAGAAGAAUUCGCAGAAAGAGCAACAGAUCUGCAGUUGGGGCUGUGGCUCUGCCUCUGAGACUCUCCCUUUAUGACUUUGAACAAGUCAUUUCACCCUCAUGAGGCCUCGAUUUCCUCAUCAAUAGUUUGGGAUACAACUAGGUGUCCUGUAAUUGGUGCCUUUCAGCUCUAAUCAAAACAAAAACAAGACCCAAGCAAACAUCAUCACUGACAGAUCUGAGGGAAUCCAGCUCAGAUCUUCCUGGUGUCAUCUCUGAUCAGAAAUCAGGGAACCAACCCUGACCUUAAUGGCCCUUCUAGGGGUGUGCUCUUCCCCUGGGCAGAGCCAAUCCCCAGGGAAGCAGAAACUCCUACUUGCCAAACUCCUGGCCAGUCACACCCGCUUUGCCAUCCUGGAGAAGGAGGGACUGUUGUGGAGCUUGUGGCAAAAUCCCUCUUCCUCCCCCAAACACAGCUAUGAUUAGCUGUGUCCUCACCACGAAACUGCAGGGGUGUGUGCGGUCACUAUUUACAAUGACCCAGGAGUCUGAUGCCUAAAUGAUACAUUAUCUUCAUGCUCCAGUCUCCCACUGUCUGACUGCCCGGCUCUUCUUUGACGAGAGAUCUCACCGAUUGCGGCCCUUGGCCUUAGGAAGGGUGAUGGGCUGGGCUGGAGGCCUGGGCUGAGCUCUUGGGUGCAGGGGGAGCCUCAGCUUUUCCAGCCCUCAUCCUCAACGGCUGCCUCUGCCAAGGCCCUGGAGCUACAGAAAGCAAGACCAGUGCCUGAGUGCAAUAAAUGCUUUUAUUAGUCCUUUUAUUAAUGACGGUUGGUAUUUGUUGAGAAGCUGGGACAAUAGUUAUUCCAGUAAGAGGAUAUUAAGCUCCCUCAAACAGGCCCUGUAUAUCUAACAGGCUCUGGCCCCCAGCCUCCCCUGACGCAGCUCUGUUACACUGCAGCACACCCCUGGCCUCCCAGCAACUCCAAGAAGGGAGAGGAGGGAUGGGGGAGGUAGGGAUAAUCUGGUGUCAUUAAACACACAGGCCUUUGUGGAGGUUACCGUACACCAACAGCAGGAAGCUUUUUCUUCCUUCUGAGAGCAUAGGGAGCCUAUGUGAUUUUGUUUUUUUUUUGUUUGUUUUGGUUUUUUUGUUUUUUGCUACCCCUGUGCUCCUGGCUAUUUUACCUCCAGAGCUGCUGGUGAUAAGUUGGUAAAGGAGGACCUCCUUAAACCAUUUGUUAAACCAUUUGAGACUGUUCCUAGUACUUGUUUUAAGCUAUUUUACAUGAUUUUUAAUGUAAUAAACACAUUUAUAAUACUAUGUGGUGGCAAUGUUCUGAGUGCUUUUCAAAUACUAAUUUAUUUAAUACUCAUAACGUCUCAAUGAAGUAGGCACUAUACUUAUCCUUAUUUUAUAAAUGAGGAAAUGAGGCCCA